GGCAAACGGGUGAGUAACACGUAAGAACCUGCCCUCGGGACUGGGAUAACUCAGCGAAAGCCGGGCUAAUACCGGAUAACAUCAACGGAUCAAAGGAGGCGAAAGCUUCCACCUGAGGAGGGGCUUGCGGCCCAUUAGCUAGUUGGUAGGGUAAUGGCCUACCAAGGCGACGAUGGGUAGCCGGCCUGAGAGGGUGACCGGCCACACUGGAACUGAGACACGGUCCAGACUCCUACGGGAGGCAGCAGUGGGGAAUAUUGGGCAAUGGGCGAAAGCCUGACCCAGCAAUGCCGUGUGAGCGAUGAAAUCCUUCGGGAUGUAAAGCUCUUUUAUGAGGGAAGAAAUGCAUGGAGGUGAAUAACCUCUACUGUUUGACGGUACCUCAUGAAUAAGCCCCGGCUAACUCCGUGCCAGCAGCCGCGGUAAUACGGAGGGGGCGAGCGUUGUUCGGAAUCACUGGGCGUAAAGGGCGCGUAGGCGGCUUUGAAGGUCAGAUGUGAAAUCCCUGGGCUUAACUCAGGAACUGCGUUUGAAACCACAUAGCUUGA
This 548-nucleotide ribosomal RNA is filed under the name uncultured Pseudomonadota bacterium. Its description in RNAcentral is "bacterial SSU rRNA". It matches the Rfam family "Bacterial small subunit ribosomal RNA", at positions 97 to 645 of the family's 1533-position model. The record is from RNAcentral. Lineage: Bacteria; Pseudomonadati; Pseudomonadota.